UCUAAAGAAAUUCUGAAUUUUUAUGUAGAACAUUGGACAUUGAAGAAAAAAUCCUUGUUUCGAUUAGUAACGCAGACUUUAAUGUUUAAUUUACAAUUAUUUUAAUUAAUGAUCCAUGUACGUUAUUAUGUAAUUAACUAUACUUAACGAUGUUUUUAGGUCUGUGAUGUUCUAUUUAUGUGAAGUUUGGGAUUAUCAGCGGAUGUAGUUGAGACAAUACGCAGGUUUUGCAUCAAGGUCUUUGCCCGCCUUAACUCUUAGUUGCCUGUUGUACAUAGACACCUUCGGACCUUUGACGCCUUAAUAUAUCCGUAUAAGGAUAUAUAAAAAUCAGGGAUAAGGCAAAUCUGAAAGGAAGAAAGCACAUAGUUUGUUCUUCAAGGUUUCAAGGAAUAUAUUCGCCUUCAUCAGGAUCAAUACAAGUGAUAGGAAGUUCGGACGGAGAUUACAGUCGUUAUGUGGAAUGAACAAGGGUUUGUGUUGUUCUAUGCAGUCAAGUAUGGGGUUACCAACGAUGUUAUUGAGAUAUUCCAGCGGUUUUUACAUCAAGAAGGUCUUUAGCCCUCCUUUCCUCAACUCCUAGUUGCAUGUUGUACACACCGACGGACUUAUUGAUGCUUUUAGGGAAUAUAUCCUUCAUCAAGACCUAUUGAUCUGAUAAGAAAACCAGACGAAGGUGACAAUGGAAGAACUUGUUCAUUCUUCAAAAAAUCAUAAUUAUGGUUGAAACAAUUGUUGCGUGUAUUGCUUUUGAUUACUGCUGUUACUUUCUUCUUUUAAAUAGUUCAACGGAGAAGACGAUUUGAAGUAAACAAAUGUGAACAAAGCAGCUUUCAAAUGUUCUGUGUAUUCUUCUUUCAAAAUCACUGUGCGAUAUCAAGACGAAUAAACAACUACCUGUACAAAGGAGAGUCUUUCAACCGUCGGUAGCAAUGAAGUUACAACCGAUUACAUUGACUAUAAGAUGAUGAAAAUAUGAAGUUGUAAACAAUCUAAGUAUAUGUAAUAAAAGGAAAAGCAUCAACAAAACAGAUCUGUAUUGUAUAUAUUGCUGAGUAUGAUCAAUGAUAUAGAUUCACUGGCAUUGAUUAUCCAUUGAAUUUGGAUUUAUAUCUUUACGAGUAACACCUGGAAUAUCUAUUUAUCGAAUGAAGACUGCUGAAAUCACAAGAAAAAAAACAAAAACGGUAUGAAAAAUAAACAUAAUGUAUUGAUUAACUAGGUGAGGACGCAUAACGUCAUGAGAAAGAACAUUGAAGUAUAAUGGUCUAUUGUGUACAAAGCAGGUUUUCUUUAAAUUAAAUUAAAUUUUUUAUUUUGCAUACACUGUUCGAUCGCGCUGUUAAUUUCUUUGUUACCUCCUCGUCUUUCCUUGUUUUUAUAGCCUUUGUAACCUUGCUAAUUUUGUAACCUUCAGUUCCGUUCAGCUAAAUAGUGAGGUAUGUACAUAAUGAAAGAAUUCUUAAUGUUUCUGACAAAAAGAUGGGUUCAUUUAUUACAAUAAAGAACGUUGUAGCUCUUUAGCAGGACUAGGGACGUGGCCAGAAAUCCAUUAGCAAUUAAAAUAUACGGCAUUAUAAACGGUGUGUUUAGAUAGUUUUGUUUUGU
Molecule: long non-coding RNA, 1608 nt
Filed under: Cimex lectularius (bed bug)
Lineage: Eukaryota; Metazoa; Arthropoda; Insecta; Hemiptera; Cimicidae
Description: uncharacterized LOC106662323, transcript variant X1
Source: RNAcentral